RNAcentral lists this ribosomal RNA (918 nucleotides) under uncultured bacterium. RNAcentral's name for it is "bacterial SSU rRNA". It matches the Rfam family "Bacterial small subunit ribosomal RNA", at positions 8 to 916 of the family's 1533-position model. The record is from RNAcentral.
AGAGUUUGAUCCUGGCUCAGGAUGAACGCUAGCUACAGGCUUAACACAUGCAAGUCGAGGGGAAACGAUAGAGAAAGCUUGCUUUUUCUAGGCGUCGACCGGCGCACGGGUGAGUAACGCGUAUCCAACCUGCCCACCACUUGGGGAUAACCUUGCGAAAGUAAGACUAAUACCCAAUGAUAUCUCUAGAAGACAUCUGAAAGGGAUUAAAGAUUUAUCGGUGAUGGAUGGGGAUGCGUCUGAUUAGCUUGUUGGCGGGGUAACGGCCCACCAAGGCUACGAUCAGUAGGGGUUCUGAGAGGAAGGUCCCCCACAUUGGAACUGAGACACGGUCCAAACUCCUACGGGAGGCAGCAGUGAGGAAUAUUGGUCAAUGGACGAGAGUCUGAACCAGCCAAGUAGCGUGCAGGAUGACGGCCCUAUGGGUUGUAAACUGCUUUUAUAAGGGAAUAAAGUGAGUCUCGUGAGACUUUUUGCAUGUACCUUAUGAAUAAGGACCGGCUAAUUCCGUGCCAGCAGCCGCGGUAAUACGGAAGGUCCGGGCGUUAUCCGGAUUUAUUGGGUUUAAAGGGAGCGUAGGCCGGAGAUUAAGCGUGUUGUGAAAUGUAGACGCUCAACGUCUGCACUGCAGCGCGAACUGGUUUCCUUGAGUACGCACAAAGUGGGCGGAAUUCGUGGUGUAGCGGUGAAAUGCUUAGAUAUCACGAAGAACUCCGAUUGCGAAGGCAGCUCACUGGAGCGCAACUGACGCUGAAGCUCGAAAGUGCGGGUAUCGAACAGGAUUAGAUACCCUGGUAGUCCGCACGGUAAACGAUGGAUGCCCGCUGUUGGUCUGAAUAGGUCAGCGGCCAAGCGAAAGCAUUAAGCAUCCCACCUGGGGAGUACGCCGGCAACGGUGAAACUCAAAGGAAUUGACGG